GAGGGUAGUUUUCAUAGAAAAGAGAUUGGAAUCAGAUGUCAUAUGAUUCCAUAUGAUUGCAACAAGCUGAAUCUAUAAACCAGGAGUAUUUACCUGAGGUGAUAGAUAGGGCGCGAGUCAAAACCUGGUGGAUUAAAGUCUCAAUUUCAGUUGCAGUAAAAACAGUGGUCUAAGAAGAAGACUUAGGAGCAGAUGAGAUAAUUGAAGCAACCACAGCAACCUGCCAGAGAGUACCUCGAGACUCGCGAGCCUUUUUCCACGCAACUUCAGGCAAUCUUAGACGACAUGACCAUCUUCUUUGUAGUAUUUACAGAAGAGCUUUUUGAAAGAUAAAUGGAGCUUUGGUGCAGAAUGAUUAAAGAAGGCUUGCAAGCAGCAGCCCUGACAAUCUCAGCAGACUGCAACUUCAUUGUAGAGCAGUGAUUCUCUUCAGAGAUUAGUUCUGCA
RNAcentral lists this long non-coding RNA (447 nucleotides) under Phoenix dactylifera (date palm). Its description in RNAcentral is "long non-coding RNA (PDAC_LNC003682)". Lineage: Eukaryota; Viridiplantae; Streptophyta; Magnoliopsida; Arecales; Arecaceae. The record is from RNAcentral.